UUUAUAACUUAUAUAGGACAAUACUGUUGAUUAAAAAAUACUCCAUUCCAGGACCUUUUGUUUUCCAAAUAAUUAAUAUUAUUGUGUCAGUUCGACGGGUUCAAACAGAAAGACUUGAAAGCAGAGAAAAACUGUGUAUCUUAUAAUCGGCAUGACUUUAUUAGAUGACAAUACUAAUACUAAAAUAAGGCUUACGCAUAGUUAUAUACUUUAAUUCAGUCACGGACCCGUGAUAUCACGGGUGUGUUCUAGUAAUGUAUUAUAUGUCUCUGUUUUAGUAUCUGUACUGUCAUCUGAUAAAGUCAUGCCGAUUAUAAGAUACACAGUUUUCUCUGCUUUCAAAUCUUUCUGUUUGAACCCGUCGAACUGGAACUUAUCAAUUAUUGGUAAUAUUAAUUAUUUGGAAAACAAAAGGUCCUGGAAUGGAGUAUUUUUUAAUCAACAGCAUUGUCCUAUAUUAGUUAUAAAUAAAGUUGAAUUCUUUGAUUCGCUGUUUUACGUCAUGCCCGCUAACAAAUUGAAAACUGUACCUAUACGCCUUAUCAUAGUUUCAGUCCAGAUUUUUAGUAUUCGUAUUGUUAUCUUAGAAAGUCUUACUGAUUAAAAUACUACAAUAGGUAACAAUUCGACAAUUUAGUAGUGUCAACCCUGUGAUUAUGACCCGUGUAUAUAGCAUAUUAAUCCUGAAUACACCGUUUGUUGGUGCGCCUGUCAGAUGCGGA
This 722-nucleotide long non-coding RNA is filed under the name Mytilus galloprovincialis (Mediterranean mussel). The record is from RNAcentral. Lineage: Eukaryota; Metazoa; Mollusca; Bivalvia; Mytilida; Mytilidae.